Molecule: ribosomal RNA, 502 nt
Filed under: uncultured soil bacterium
Lineage: Bacteria
Description: bacterial SSU rRNA
Rfam family: Bacterial small subunit ribosomal RNA
Source: RNAcentral
AGAUUGAACGCUGGCGGCAGGCCUAACACAUGCAAGUCGAGCGGCAGCACGGGUACUUGUACCUGGUGGCGAGCGGCGGACGGGUGAGUAAUGCCUAGGAAUCUGCCUGGUAGUGGGGGAUAACGCUCGGAGACGGACGCUAAUACCGCAUACGUCCUACGGGAGAAAGCAGGGGACCUUCGGGCCUUGCGCUAUCAGAUGAGCCUAGGUCGGAUUAGCUAGUUGGUGAGGUAAUGGCUCACCAAGGCGACGAUCCGUAACUGGUCUGAGAGGAUGAUCAGUCACACUGGAACUGAGACACGGUCCAGACUCCUACGGGAGCAGCAGGUGGGAAUAUGGACAAGUGGGCGAAAGCCUGACUCCAGCCAUGCCGCGUGUGUGAAGUAAGGUCUUCGGAUUUGAAAGCUAACGUUUUAAGUUGGGAAGGUAACGGGUCAAGUUACCGUAAUUACGUAUACGUUGUUUUAGACGUUUACGACAGUAAACUAGCCACGGCUAACUC